CCGUUCAAUACUGCGGAGCUCGAGGGCAGAAGAGGGGGGUGGAAUUGCUGGUGUAGUGGUGAAAUGCGUAGAUAUCAGCAGGAACACCUGUGGCGAAAGCGGCCCCCUGGUCUGCUCCUGACACUCAGACGCGAAAGCUAGGGGAGUGAACGGGAUUAGAAACCCCGGUAAUCCUAGCCGUAAACGAUGGAUGCUAGGUGUGGGUGGUAUUGACCCCAUCCGUGCCGAAGCCAACGCGUUAAGCAUCCCGCCUGGGGACUACGGCCGCAAGGUUAAAACUCAAAGGAAUUGACGGGGACCCGCACAAGCAGCGGAGCGUGUGGUUUAAUUCGAUGCUACACGAAGAACCUUACCCAGGUUUGACAUGCAGGUAGUAGUGAAGCGAAAGCGGAACGAUCCUUCGGGAAGCCUGCACAGGUGCUGCAUGGCUGUCGUCAGCUCGUGCCCUGAGGUGUUUGGUUAAGUCCACUAACGAGCGCAACCCCUGUCGUCAGUUACAUGUGUCUGGCGAGACUGCCGGUCUUAAACCGGAGGAAGGUGGGGAUGACGUCAAGUCAGCAUGGCCUUUAUAUCUGGG
RNAcentral lists this ribosomal RNA (577 nucleotides) under uncultured bacterium. RNAcentral describes it as "bacterial SSU rRNA". It matches the Rfam family "Bacterial small subunit ribosomal RNA", at positions 623 to 1212 of the family's 1533-position model. The record is from RNAcentral.